Non-coding RNA from Corylus avellana, 368 nucleotides. The record is from RefSeq and is a predicted model, not a curated record. NCBI's taxonomy places the organism in Eukaryota, Viridiplantae, Streptophyta, Magnoliopsida, Fagales, Betulaceae.
UUCGUCCAACCUUUUGGCUGGAGGAGGUGGAGAUGAGGGAGACGAUGAGUAGAUUCAGCCGACCAAACCGGUGAUGAAUCCAGCCCCACCAGCUGGACAGACCUUCUGGUUCGAUAUCCCUUCUGCCAAGUCCAAGCAGGCUGCUUGGGGUAGCUUUUUUAAUUAGAUCUACGCCUUCAGUGCCGUGGAAGACUUCUGGAGGAGGACUAACACAUUGUUGUAGAUGACAAAUUCCAGAGGAUGCUAGAAGCAAUGCAUGGGCUUUCUUUCGACCCGAAGAUCAGGUAGCAACUCUCAAGAGGAUAUUUUGUGCUAAUAUAUAUGAGCCAGCACCCACUUCCAACAGUCAACGAGUAUGGCCAGACAGG